CCUACGGGUGGCAGCAGUGAGGAAUAUUGGUCAAUGGGCGAGAGCCUGAACCAGCCAAGUCGCGUGAAGGAUGACGGCCCUACGGGUUGUAAACUUCUUUUGUCAGGGAGCAAUUGAGUCCACGUGUGGUCUUAGCGAGAGUACCUGAAGAAAAAGCAUCGGCUAACUCCGUGCCAGCAGCCGCGGUAAUACGGAGGAUGCGAGCGUUAUCCGGAUUUACUGGGUGUAAAGGGCGUGUAGCCGGGAAGGCAAGUCAGAUGUGAAAUCCGGAGGCUCAACCUCCGAAUUGCAUUUGAAACUGUUUUUCUUGAGUACUGGAGAGGCAGACGGAAUUCCUUGUGUAGCGGUGAAAUGCGUAGAUAUAAGGAGGAACACCAGUGGCGAAGGCGGUCUGCUGGACAGCAACUGACGGUGAGGCGCGAAAGCGUGGGGAGCAAACAGGAUUAGAUACCCUUGUAGUC
Molecule: ribosomal RNA, 461 nt
Filed under: uncultured bacterium
Lineage: Bacteria
Description: partial 16S ribosomal RNA
Rfam family: Bacterial small subunit ribosomal RNA
Source: RNAcentral